UUUCCGUAGGUGAACCUGCGGAAGGAUCAUUAUUGAAACUUGAAUCGUAGCAUUGAGAACUGUUGCUGACCUGUUAAAGGGUAUGUGCACGUUCGACGUGUUGCGUUCUAUUCAUCCACCUGUGCACCUUUGUAGACUUGAUUAACUUUCGCUUUCGAGCGGUUAGAAGGGCUGCUUUCGAGCUCCCUUUGUCUAUCAAGUCUAUGUCUAUAUAAUCUCUUGUAUGUCUAGAAUGUCUUGUUUAUGGGACGCAAGUCCUUUAAACCUUAUACAACUUUCAACAACGGAUCUCUUGGCUCUC
This 301-nucleotide unclassified non-coding RNA is filed under the name plant metagenome. RNAcentral describes it as "partial contains small subunit ribosomal RNA, internal transcribed spacer 1, and 5.8S ribosomal RNA". The record is from RNAcentral.